This 467-nucleotide ribosomal RNA is filed under the name uncultured Mollicutes bacterium. RNAcentral describes it as "bacterial SSU rRNA". It matches the Rfam family "Bacterial small subunit ribosomal RNA", at positions 336 to 796 of the family's 1533-position model. The record is from RNAcentral. Lineage: Bacteria; Bacillati; Mycoplasmatota; Mollicutes.
UUCCUACGGGUGGCUGCAGUAGGGAAUUUUCGGCAAUGGGGGGAACCCUGACCGAGCAAUGCCGCGUGAAUGAAGAAGGUCUUCGGAUUGUAAAGUUCUGUUAUUGGGAAAGAACAUCAUAUUCAGGAAAUGGGAUAUGACUGACGGUACCCAAUUAGAAAGCCCCGGCCAACUACGUGCCAGCAGCCGCGGUAAUACGUAGGGGGCGAGCGUUAUCCGGAUUUAUUGGGCGUAAAGCGUGUGUAGGCGGUUUAUUAAGUCAGGCGUAAAAGAUCACAGCUCAACUGUGUAGGGCGUUUGAAACUGGUAGACUUGAAUACGGUAGAGGUAGGGGGAAUUCCAUGUGUAGCGGUGGAAUGCGUAGAUAUAUGGAGGAACACCAAUGGCGAAGGCAACCUACUGGGCCGGAAUUGACGCUGAGACACGAAAGCGUGGGGAGCAAACAGGAUUAGAUACCCCAGUAGUCC